GAUGAACGCUGGCGGCGUGCCUAAUACAUGCAAGUCGAGCGAACAGACGAGGAGCUUGCUCCUCUGACGUUAGCGGCGGACGGGUGAGUAACACGUGGAUAACCUACCUAUAAGACUGGGAUAACUUCGGGAAACCGGAGCUAAUACCGGAUAAUAUAUUGAACCGCAUGGUUCAAUAGUGAAAGGCGGUUUUGCUGUCACUUAUAGAUGGAUCCGCGCCGCAUUAGCUAGUUGGUAAGGUAACGGCUUACCAAGGCAACGAUGCGUAGCCGACCUGAGAGGGUGAUCGGCCACACUGGAACUGAGACACGGUCCAGACUCCUACGGGAGGCAGCAGUAGGGAAUCUUCCGCAAUGGGCGAAAGCCCGACGGAGCAACGCCGCGUGAGUGAUGAAGGUCUUCGGAUCGUAAAACUCUGUUAUUAGGGAAGAACAAAUGUGUAAGUAACUAUGCACGUCUUGACGGUACCUAAUCAGAAAGCCACGGCUAACUACGUG
RNAcentral lists this ribosomal RNA (497 nucleotides) under uncultured bacterium. RNAcentral's name for it is "partial 16S ribosomal RNA". It matches the Rfam family "Bacterial small subunit ribosomal RNA", at positions 28 to 507 of the family's 1533-position model. The record is from RNAcentral.